GACGAACGCUGGCGGCGUGCUUAACACAUGCAAGUCGAGCGGUAAGGCCCUUCGGGGUACACGAGCGGCGAACGGGUGAGUAACACGUGGGUGAUCUGCCUCGCACUCUGGGAUAAGCCUGGGAAACUGGGUCUAAUACCGGAUAUGACCACGGAUCGCAUGGUUUGUGGUGGAAAGAUUUAUCGGUGCGAGAUGGGCCCGCGGCCUAUCAGCUUGUUGGUGGGGUAAUGGCCUACCAAGGCGACGACGGGUAGCCGACCUGAGAGGGUGACCGGCCACACUGGGACUGAGACACGGCCCAGACUCCUACGGGAGGCAGCAGUGGGGAAUAUUGCACAAUGGGCGAAAGCCUGAUGCAGCGACGCCGCGUGAGGGAUGACGGCCUUCGGGUUGUAAACCUCUUUCGACAGGGACGAAGCGCAAGUGACGGUACCUGUAGAAGAAGCACCGGCCAACUACGUG
This 462-nucleotide ribosomal RNA is filed under the name Nocardia nova. RNAcentral's name for it is "bacterial SSU rRNA". It matches the Rfam family "Bacterial small subunit ribosomal RNA", at positions 28 to 507 of the family's 1533-position model. Lineage: Bacteria; Bacillati; Actinomycetota; Actinomycetes; Mycobacteriales; Nocardiaceae. The record is from RNAcentral.